Molecule: ribosomal RNA, 501 nt
Filed under: uncultured bacterium
Lineage: Bacteria
Description: partial 16S ribosomal RNA
Rfam family: Bacterial small subunit ribosomal RNA
Source: RNAcentral
AUUGAACGCUGGCGGCAGGCUUAACACAUGUAAGUCGAGCGGAGCGAGGGUGCUUGCACCUUAGCUUAGCGGCGGACGGGUGAGUAAUGCUUAGGAAUCUGCCUAUUAGUGGGGGACGACAUUCCGAAAGGAAUGCUAAUACCGCAUACGCCCUACGGGGGAAAGCAGGGGAUCUUCGGACCUUGCGCUAAUAGAUGAGCCUAAGUCGGAUUAGCUAGUUGGUGGGGUAAAGGCCUACCAAGGCGACGAUCUGUAGCGGGUCUGAGAGGAUGAUCCGCCACACUGGGACUGAGACACGGCCCAGACUCCUACGGGAGGCAGCAGUGGGGAAUAUUGGACAAUGGGCGGAAGCCUGAUCCAGCCAUGCCGCGUGUGUGAAGAAGGCCUUUUGGUUGUAAAGCACUUUAAGCGAGGAGGUGGCUACUUAGAUUAAUACUCUGGGAUAGUGGACGUUACUCGCAGAAUAAGCACCGGCUAACUCUGUGCCAGCAGCCGCCGUAA